UGAGAAUCUGCCCUUUAGUGAAGGAUACUCCCGAGAAAUUGGGCUUAAUACUGCAUACGUCCCUACGGGGAGAAAGGUGGCUUUAUGCUGCCGCUAAAGGAUGAGCUUGCGUACUAUUAGCUAGUUGGUGGGGUAAAGGCCUACCAAGGCGAUGACGGUUAACCGGCCUGAGAGGGCGAUCGGCCACACUGGGACUGAGACACGGCCCAGACUCCUACGGGAGGCAG
This 227-nucleotide ribosomal RNA is filed under the name uncultured bacterium. Its description in RNAcentral is "partial 16S ribosomal RNA". It matches the Rfam family "Bacterial small subunit ribosomal RNA", at positions 118 to 351 of the family's 1533-position model. The record is from RNAcentral.